UGACAAUAAAAACCAGCAGCGUAACGA
This 27-nucleotide non-coding RNA is filed under the name Bombyx mori (domestic silkworm). The record is from RNAcentral. Lineage: Eukaryota; Metazoa; Arthropoda; Insecta; Lepidoptera; Bombycidae.